This 305-nucleotide ribosomal RNA is filed under the name uncultured bacterium. Its description in RNAcentral is "partial 16S ribosomal RNA". It matches the Rfam family "Bacterial small subunit ribosomal RNA", at positions 508 to 807 of the family's 1533-position model. The record is from RNAcentral.
ACAGCAGUCGCCGCGGUAAUACGUAGGGUGCGAGCGUUAAUCGGAAUUACUGGGCGUAAAGCGUGCGUAGGCGGCUUUUUAAGUCGGAUGUGAAAUCCCUGAGCUUAACUUAGGAAUUGCAUUCGAUACUGGGAAGCUAGAGUAUGGGAGAGGAUGGUAGAAUUCCAGGUGUAGCGGUGAAAUGCGUAGAGAUCUGGAGGAAUACCGAUGGCGAAGGCAGCCAUCUGGCCUAAUACUGACGCUGAGGUACGAAAGCAUGGGGAGCAAACAGGAUUAGAGACCCCCGUAGUCCCUGUCUCUUAUAC